CCUACGGGAGGCAGCAGUGAGGAAUAUUGGUCAAUGGACGCAAGUCUGAACCAGCCAAGCCGCGUGCAGGAAGACGGCUCUAUGAGUUGUAAACUGCUUUUGUACGAGAGUAAACGCAGAUACGUGUAUCUGUCUGAAAGUAUCGUACGAAUAAGGAUCGGCUAACUCCGUGCCAGCAGCCGCGGUAAUACGGAGGAUUCAAGCGUUAUCCGGAUUUAUUGGGUUUAAAGGGUGCGUAGGCGGGCGGAUAAGUUAGUUGUGAAAUCUCGAGGCUCAACUUCGGAAUUGCCUCUGAUACUGUCCGGCUAGAGAGUAGUUGCGGUAGGCGGAAUGUAUGGUGUAGCGGUGAAAUGCUUAGAGAUCAUACAGAACUCCGAUUGCGAAGGCAGCUUACCAAGCUACUUCUGACGUUGAGGCACGAAAGCGUGGGGAGCAAACAGGAUUAGAUACCCUGGUAGUC
Molecule: ribosomal RNA, 460 nt
Filed under: uncultured bacterium
Lineage: Bacteria
Description: partial 16S ribosomal RNA
Rfam family: Bacterial small subunit ribosomal RNA
Source: RNAcentral